GACGAACGCUGGCGGCGUGCUUAACACAUGCAAGUCGAGCGAUGAAACUCCUUCGGGAGUGGAUUAGCGGCGGACGGGUGAGUAACACGUGGGUAACCUGCCUCAUAGAGGGGAAUAGCCUUCCGAAAGGAAGAUUAAUACCGCAUAAGAUUGUAGUACCGCAUGGUACAGCAAUUAAAGGAGUAAUCCGCUAUGAGAUGGACCCGCGUCGCAUUAGCUAGUUGGUGAGGUAACGGCUCACCAAGGGGACGAUGCGUAGCCGACCUGAGAGGGGGAUCGGCCACAUUGGGACUGAGACACGGCCCAGACUCCUACGGNNNGCAGCAGUGGGGANUAUUGCACAAUGGGGGAAACCCUGAUGCAGCAACGCCGCGUGAGUGAUGACGGUCUUCGGAUUGUAAAACUCUGUCUUCAGGGACGAUAAUGACGGUACCUGAGGAGGAAGCCACGGCUAACUACGUGCCAGCCGCCGCAGUAA
This 478-nucleotide ribosomal RNA is filed under the name uncultured bacterium. RNAcentral's name for it is "partial 16S ribosomal RNA". It matches the Rfam family "Bacterial small subunit ribosomal RNA", at positions 28 to 523 of the family's 1533-position model. The record is from RNAcentral.